CCGCCUGCUGGCUGCUCCGCGCGAGCACCACCGCGCAUUCCCCUCCGCCCCCCGGUCUCGGCAGUCAGGUGCCGCCUCCGCCGCACUGCCGCCGCCUGCCCCUGCCUCCGCUCCGCCGCGCCACCAAAGCAGAGGACCGCCGGCUCCGACUCCUCGCGCAGCUACUCCGCGCACCGCUGCUCCUGCUUGGCCUGCAAGCCUCGCCGAAUCGGUAAUUUCUUGGACUGAAAGACUGCAUAGUUUCUGAAUUUAUGCAUUGAAGCUAACUUAAAUCGAAAUAGAGAUGCGUAUGCAUUGAAUUGAACUCGAGUCGAUGCGUCAUCACUUGUCAAUUCCAUUUCAUGCUAUAGAAAUAGAAGAUGAAGAGGGCUUUUUCAUCGGUGCCCGCAGUGGGAGUGUCUACACCCUAUAGUUUGAGUUCAGGGGAAUCAGGGAGUGUACUUGCAAGUAUUGACGAAUGACGAUGAUGAUGUUUAAUAUCGUUUUCAGUCCUAUAGGUCCCACAAAGGGGUGUUUACCUCCUGCUGUAGUGGUGUUGCUACUUCUUCUACCUUGAUCAGGUCAUGGGAGACACAUAAGAAGCAAACCAUUAAUUUGGAGGAGAGCACGAAGUUCUUUGAGGAGCUUAAUAUUCACAGGGAUGCUCCCGGCAAGCUCGUUGUGCGAGAGCUCAAGGGCCACCAAGGUCCUCAAAGCCGAGAAGUCAAGAGACUCAAGUGUCCCUCUCAGCC
Molecule: long non-coding RNA, 731 nt
Organism: Triticum urartu
Lineage: Eukaryota; Viridiplantae; Streptophyta; Magnoliopsida; Poales; Poaceae
Source: RefSeq, a predicted model, not a curated record